GACGAACGCUGGCGGCGUGCCUAAUACAUGCAAGUUGAGCGCUGAAGGUUGGUACUUGUCCCAACUGGAUGAGCAGCGAACGGGUGAGUAACGCGUGGGGAAUCUGCCUUUGAGCGGGGGACAACAUUUGGAGUCGAAUGCUAAUACCGCAUAAAAACUUUAAACACAAGUUUUAAGUUUGAAAGAUGCAAUUGCAUCACUCAAAGAUGAUCCCGCGUUGUAUUAGCUAGUUGGUGAGGUAAAGGCUCACCAAGGCGAUGAUACAUAGCCGACCUGAGAGGGGGAUCGGCCACAGUGGGACUGAGACACGGCCCAAACGCCUACGGGAGGCAGCAGUAGGGAAUCUUCGGCAAUGGACGAAAGUCUGACCGAGCAACGCCGCGUGAGUGAAGAAGGGUUACGGAUCGUAAAACUCUGUUGGUAGAGAAGAACGUUGGUGAGAGUGGAAAGCUCAUCAAGUGACGGUAACUACCCAGAAAGGGACGGCUAACUACGUG
This 497-nucleotide ribosomal RNA is filed under the name uncultured bacterium. Its description in RNAcentral is "partial 16S ribosomal RNA". It matches the Rfam family "Bacterial small subunit ribosomal RNA", at positions 28 to 507 of the family's 1533-position model. The record is from RNAcentral.